This 244-nucleotide long non-coding RNA is filed under the name Elaeis guineensis (African oil palm). RNAcentral's name for it is "long non-coding RNA (EGUI_LNC043404)". The record is from RNAcentral. Lineage: Eukaryota; Viridiplantae; Streptophyta; Magnoliopsida; Arecales; Arecaceae.
GAGUUUUGCAAAAAAGUAAGCUUUCUUCCUUUCGUGGUUUUUCUUCAUGAGAUAUUACAGUGCCACCCCUACAUACCAUAAGAGAAUCCAUGAAAUGGGAAGAGAGAAUCUUUAAAUCCUACUUGCUCUUAAGAGCGGACGGCCUGGUGAUGCACAAUCCGAGUACUAGGUUACUAGGACAUCUAUUCUAACAUAUCAUAUAUGUAACAUGUAGAAAUUUAGAUCUAAUCUAAAUUAUUUCAGA